GACGAACGCUGGCGGCGUGCUUAACACAUGCAAGUCGAACGCGCCUGUCCUCUGGGUUUCUGGGGGGUGGGUGAGUGGCGAACGGGUGAGUAACACGUGAGUAACCUGCCCCCUUCUUCGGGAUAACGGUCUGAAAGGGCUGCUAAUACCGGGUAUUCACUGGUCUCCGCAUGGGGUCUGGUGGAAAGGUUUUUUUCUGGUGGGGGAUGGGCUCGCGGCCUAUCAGCUUGUUGGUGGGGUGAUGGCCCACCAAGGCUUUGACGGGUAGCCGGCCUGAGAGGGUGACCGGUCACAUUGGGACUGAGAUACGGCCCAGACUCCUACGGGAGGCAGCAGUGGGGAAUAUUGCACAAUGGGCGCAAGCCUGAUGCAGCGACGCCGCGUGAGGGAUGGAGGCCUUCGGGUUGUGAACCUCUUUCGCCCGUGGUCAAGCCGCGACGUGGGUCGUGGUGAGGGUAGUGGGUAAAGAAGCGCCGGCUAACUACGU
RNAcentral lists this ribosomal RNA (487 nucleotides) under uncultured bacterium. Its description in RNAcentral is "partial 16S ribosomal RNA". It matches the Rfam family "Bacterial small subunit ribosomal RNA", at positions 28 to 506 of the family's 1533-position model. The record is from RNAcentral.